This is an RNA transcript of Zeugodacus cucurbitae (melon fly), 6312 nucleotides long. RefSeq lists it as uncharacterized. The transcript is spliced from 3 exons. NCBI's taxonomy places the organism in Eukaryota, Metazoa, Arthropoda, Insecta, Diptera, Tephritidae. The record is from RefSeq and is a predicted model, not a curated record.
GCCUUAUCUUGAUGAAGCAUUUUGAAUGAAGUUUUCUAAGAUAAAAUUUCCAUAUAAAAGGCAAAGACGGUCACAGCAAAUCAUUAGUAACGAAAAACUUUCGAACACAAUGAUGACUACGAUGAAAGCCCCCGGGUUGACAUUGCUACUACUGUUCGCAUCAUCAGUUGCAGCCCAAGAAGCAAGUGUAUAUGGUGUAACCCAAGGUAUUAACUGUUUUGGCAAAGAAUAUGUGUGUGUCGGCCCCUUAAAGUACAAGCAUUGUGAAUGGGAUGCUCAAGGUAAUACCUAUGCUGCGGGCAACGUCAUUCAGUGUCCCUCUAACCACCGCUGCGUAAAUGAUGGAGUAGAAAUUUGUAUACCGCUUAAGUUGUCCACAACAGCACCUCAAGCAGCACCCCUAAUCACCUCAGAGCAAGUACCUGUCAACUCGAUAUCUACUGAAGAUCCCAUAAAAAUUAUUCCACUAAAAUGGGAAUCCACGUCUGCAAUACCAGAAACCACAACAGAUGUCGUAGUUAAUAAAGAGCCAUCAAUUAUUCCUGUUGACACAACUACUGCCGCAGAUGGUUCAAUAUGGACGACCUUUUUAACAGAUAAUCCGAACGCCUAUAAUACACUCGGAUCGCAAUUAGCUGACACAAACAUUCCCUUUACCACUAGUUCAGCUCUGGAGACCACAACGAAUGGAAUUAUAGAAACUACGACGUUUCAAGACGGAACAACUAUACCAUCAGACAUUUACACCACAUUGACUCCAAUUACAUCGGAUGACUCCAGUUUACCAGUUAAAUCCAAUAAUCACUUAGAGGCCGGAUCAAUAGUAGAUAUUACGCAUAUUUCUAUAGAUGAAUUAGCUCUAAAAAAUCAAGCUUCUGAAACAACAACAGUUCGAAACAUUCCCUCUGAUCACAAUUUCACGGACAAUUAUUAUUCGACAAUAUCCACGCCUGAAUCUCCAGGUUCAAUAACAGAUAUAUAUCCUGGAGCUACAAUGACAGAAAGUGUAGGGCAAUAUGUGUCUUUUGAAACGAAAACACCAAUAGAUGCAUAUCCCACAAUAUUUCCAGAAGGAUCAACCGGUACUUCUCCAAUAAUCGAACCACUAGAAACAACAACACUAAUAGAACAAACGAUUGCUUUUGAUUCUAAUACGCCAGUUAACCUGAGUGAGUCAAAUAUACAGAAUAAAACUCCCACUGCAGUUCCAAACAGUCCAAUCAAUGGAAAUGUUUCAACUCAUCCCAGCACACUUAUAAGUAAUAGUUUACCAGUUGAGCAUAAUCCGCAAGUGGACCCUAACAUCCCGAUCGAAUUAAGUUCUUCAGCUGAUCCUAAUGCAACUACCACUCCUGUGGAUGAAAUCAAUACAGUUAUUCCAAAUUUUUCGUCUGUUCCUAGCACACCUGCAAGUUCAAGUUUACCAGUUGAACAAAAUUCACCAGUGGACCCUAAAAACCCGAUCGACUUAAGUUCGUCGACUGAUCCUAAUGCAACAACCAUUCCAGUGGAUCAAACCCACCCAAACAUUCAAAGUACUUCAUCGGAUUCUACCAAACCAGCAAGUUCAAGCUUACCAGUGGAACCUAUUUCAUCAGUGGUCACAUCUAAUCUUAGCACACUGACAAGUUCAAACUUACCAGUUGAACAUAAUUCACCAGUGGACCCUAAUAACCUGAUCGACUUAAGUUCGUCAACCUAUCCUAAUGCAACAACCAUUCCGGUGGAUCAAACCUCUCCAAACAUUCCAAGUAUUGUAUCGGAUUCUAGCAAACCAGCAAGUUCAAGCUUACCAGUGGAACCUAUUUCAUCAGUGGUCUCUUCUGAUCUUACCACACUGACAAGUUCAAACUUACCAGUUGAACAGAUUUCACCAGUGGACCCUAAUAACCUGAUCGACUUAAGUUCGUCAACUGAUCCUAAUGCAACAACCAUUCCGGUGGAUCAAACCUCUCCAAACAUUCCAAGUAUUGUAUCGGAUUCUAGCAAACCAGCAAGUUCAAGCUUACCAGUGGAACCUAUUUCAUCAGUGGUCACAUCUAAUCUUAGCACACUGACAAGUUCAAACUUACCAGUUGAACAUAAUUCACCAGUGGACCCUAAUAACCUGAUCGACUUAAGUUCGUCAACUGAUCCUAAUGCAACAACCAUUCCGGUGGAUCAAACCUCUCCAAACAUUCCAAGUAUUGUAUCGGAUUCUAGCAAACCAGCAAGUUCAAGCUUACCAGUGGAACCUAUUUCAUCAGUGGUCACAUCUAAUCUUAGCACACUGACAAGUUCAAACUUACCAGUUGAACAUAAUUCACCAGUGGACCCUAAUAACCUGAUCGACUUAAGUUCGUCAACUGAUCCUAAUGCAACAACCAUUCCGGUGGAUCAAACCUCUCCAAACAUUCCAAGUAUUGUAUCGGAUUCUAGCAAACCAGCAAGUUCAAGCUUACCAUUGGAACCUAUUUCAUCAGUGGUCUCAUCUGAUCCUAGCACACUGGCAAGUUCAAACUUACCAGUUGAACAUAACUCACCAGUGGACCCUAAUAGCCCGAUCGACUUAAGUUCGUCGACUGAUCCUAAUGCAACAACCAUUCCAGUGGAUCAAACCAAUCCAAACAUUCAAAGUACUUCAUCGGAUUCUACCAAACCAGCAAGUUCAAGCUUACCAUUGGAACCUAUUUCAUCAGUGGUCUCAUCUGAUCCUAGCACACUGGCAAGUUCAAACUUACCAGUUGAACAUAACUCACCAGUGGACCCUAAUAGCCCGAUCGACUUAAGUUCGUCGACUGAUCCUAAUGCAACAACCAUUCCAGUGGAUCAAACCAACCCAAACAUUCAAAGUACUUCAUCGGAUUCUACCAAACCAGCAAGUUCAAGCUUACCAGUGGAACAUAUUUCAUCAGUGGUCACAUCUAAUCUUAGCACACUGGCAAGUUCAAACUUACCAGUUGAACAUAAUUCACCAGUGGACCCUAAUAGCCCGAUCGACUUAAGUUCGUCGACUGAUCCUAAUGCAACAACCAUUCCAGUGGAUCAAACCAACCCAAACAUUCAAAGUACUUCAUCGGAUUCUACCAAACCAGCAAGUUCAAGCUUACCAGUGGAACCUAUUUCAUCAGUGGUCACAUCUAAUCUUAGCACCCUGACAAGUUCAAACUUACCAAUUGAACAUAAUUCACCAGUGGACCCUAAUAACCUGAUCGACUUAAGUUCGUCAACUGAUCCUAAUGCAACAACCAUUCCAGUGGAUCAAACCAACCCAAACAUUCAAAGUACUUCAUCGGAUUCUACCAAACCAGCAAGUUCAAGCUUACCAGUGGAACCUAUUUCAUCAAUGGUCUCAUCUGAUCUUAGCGCACUGACAAGUUCAAACUUACCAGUUCAACAUAAUCCACCAGUGGACCCUAAUAACCUGAUCGACUUAAGUUCGUCAACUGAUCCUAAUGCAACAACCAUUCCAGUGGAUCAAACCAUUCCAAACAUUCCAAGUAUUUCAUCAGAUUCCAGAAAACCAUCAAUUUCAAGCUCACCAGUGAAACCUACUUCAUCACUGGUCUCAUCUGAUCCUAGCACACUGGCAAGUUCAAACUUACCAGUUGAACAUAAUUCACCAGUGGAUCCUAAAAUUCCGAUCGAUAUAAGUUCAUCAACUGGUCCAAAUACAAUAAGCAUUCCAGUAAAUCAAACUAAUACAAUUAUUCCAAGUGCCUCAUCUGAUCCUAGCAAACCAGUUAGCUCAAUGUUUCCAGUUGAACAUAACUCACCAGAAGACAUUAUAAUCGAAUCAAAGGAUGCAAACAAAGCAAAAGAUGCGAAGACUCCAUCUGAUCCUAGUGCACCAGAAAGUUCCCUUUUACCAGUUGAGCAUAACUCCCCAAUAGACUCCAAUAUCCCUAUCGAGUUAAGUGGAAAGCCUAAUGCAGCAAACAUUCCAGUGGAAAAACCCAAACCAAUUAUUCCGAGUACUUCAUGGGAUCCCAACUCCCCAACCAUUUCAAGCUUACCAGUGAACCCUGACAUCUCAGUCGAAUUAAAUGCAUCAAUUGAUCCUAAUACAGCAACCAUUCCAAGUAUUGCAUCGGAUCCUAGUCCAGCAAUUUCAAGGGCACCAGUGGAGUCUAAUUCUAGCCCAUCGGCAAAUCCUAGCUUAGUAUUUCAGCAUAACUCCCCCUUAGAUGAUACAAAUCAAUUUACAGUAAGUUCGCCAGUAGCAUCUGCAAACCCAAUUUUGCAAGUUGAACUGAAAGUACCAGUAUUAACGGAGGAAGUGGUAGAAAAUUAUGCCCCGUCUAGGAAUCAACCAGGUGUACCAAAGGCACCAGUUACUUCAAACUCACCUGUUAAUACUAGGGGAUCAAUCAGUCACACUAUUUCAACAAAUCUUGACCAUGUGAAGCCGAAGUCCUCAACAGUGAAUCCUAACACACCGAUUAGUCCAAACAUUCGAAUCGAUUCUGAUACAAGCCAACCAGCGAAUAUUAAUAUUCCAACCGAUUCUAGCGCUUCAGCAGGACCAAACAAACUUUUUGACCAUACGUCAGCAAUCCAUUCUAGUGAUUUACAUACUGGCCUUACGAAAUGGUAUCUGUACUCUCGUAGUAAGGGAAGCAAUACGAAUGAAGAAGCAAAUAAUGGUAUGGUGUUUUUACCAAAGCACCCACUUGGAUCUCGACGGCCUACAUCGACCAAAAAGCCUAACCAUCAAGAAACUAUAGAAGCAGAAUCAAGUGAAGCAAACUCUUCUAAAUCUGUGCUUAAAGAAGAUGGCUCCAUUGAAGAAACAUCAAACAGCAAUAGCAAAAAGUCGAAGAAGCAAAAGAAUUCCAGGAACAAUAAGCGUAAAGAAGAAACAGUAGAGAAGGAAACAGUAGAAAAAGAAUCAAGUGAAAUUUCUUUACCUGAAAAACGUCAAAACAAUAAUACAUCGGUGGAAAACAAAUCUGGGACAAAUAGUAAAGAAUCCAAAGAUAGUAAGGACUUCCAAGAGGAAAACGUUAAAAUUGAAAGCAAGCCCGAUGACGAAGAUGACGAAAGUGCAUCAAGCGAGCAGAAGGAAUUAAUUAAGAAAAUCUUAAAGAAAAUCAAAGACAGCAAAUGUGACGAAGAUGACGUAUAUCCAGACCCUAAAGAUUGCAAAAAAUACUACCGAUGUGUGAAAAAGAAUCACAAAACAAAGAUCACUCAUCUUCGUUGCGAAAGUGGUGAUCGUUUUGACUCAGACAAACUAAAAUGUGUAGACAAACGGAAGGCCAAAUGCUUUUCCAAAGAAGAUUUCAUAGAAGAGUUCGCUUGAAUCCCGAAACAAAAGCCGUCGUCAAUACAGUCCACUUUUGUAAAGAUAGUCCGAAAUCGAUUAAUUCUUAUUCUAUAGACAACUUACGCAUACCUUACCUAUUUUCGAAAACUUAAAACCUGUACCUUCGCUAAGUGAUAAUUUUCAAAGUGUAUUCAACAAAGUGAACUAAGUAUUUGACAUACCCUUCUUUGACAAUAAAAUAGUAAACAAUUCAAGUAUUUGUUUACAUUAACCCGACUUUUUUUAUCUUGAACAAUAUAAUAUAGAUUGAUAAAAUUUGUUGCAAUUUGUCAGUUAGAGCACAAAACAUUGGUACAUUUCUUCCAUGAGUUGUUUUCCACAAGCAGAAAGUAUUCGACAUCUUAUUUUAUUCAUUAAAAAUAUAUAUAUUUUUUUUUUGUUUGAAAUUUGUUUACUUUUGAAUUUCAAAAUUUAAAACAAAGGCAAAUUCGGGUAAAGAAAAAUUAAUUGUCAUAUACUUAGUUCACUUUGUUGAAUAUACUUUGAUAAUUUAUAGAUCUGGCAAGUUAUCGAUUUCGAUUGUCAAUUCUAGUUUGUUCUGGUGUCAUUUUCGUUACAAUAUGUAAAUUUUUUGACAGACGAGCAGCGCCCAAAGAUAGCGAGCAGAGAAGUGGCGAAUAUACUUGGCUGGCGUCAUGCUUAUGUUAUAAUACAUAGAUGUAAUCGAUUGGUCACUUCUCUGCUCGCUAUCUUUGGGCGCUGCUUGCUUGUCACAUCAGCAGCACAAGCGACUCAAAGGAAAAUUUUUUAACAAAAAUGACAAUUCGAAUUUAUAUUUUUGUUGUUUUAACUUUGGAGUACAUUUUAAUUGAUUAAAUAAAACCUAAUGCAUAACCUCAGCUCGAAACAAAGGGAUAAAAAAAUAUUUUUACGCAGAUUUAAGUACAGUGGAACUUCUCUAACUCGAAUCACCAUAAUCCACAAAAAAACUUCGAGUUAGAGAGACUUCGAGUUAUAGAAUUUUUCAUUACAAAAUAAAUAUUUUUAAAAAGCUUUAAAAUGUA